UCCACAGUAGCUCAGUGGUAGAGCUAUCGGCUGUUAACCGAUAGGUCGUAGGUUCGAGUCCUACCUGUGGAGCCA
This 75-nucleotide transfer RNA is filed under the name Staphylococcus aureus. RNAcentral's name for it is "tRNA-Asn". It matches the Rfam family "tRNA". From Rfam's summary of the family: Transfer RNA (tRNA) molecules are approximately 80 nucleotides in length. Lineage: Bacteria; Bacillati; Bacillota; Bacilli; Caryophanales; Staphylococcaceae. The record is from RNAcentral.